GGCUCUUUUUUCAUUAUGAAAUCUUGUUGAGAGCUUCCAGUCUAUGAGAGCUAACUAGUUAGCCACUAGCAAAACACUAAGGCGAGCUAGCAGCUUGACAACCAAAUACCAGACGAUUAAUAGUAGCUGUAGUGUAGUUGUACAGUAGUAGGAAUACUAAAAGUACAAGCAGCAGUAGUAGUAUAAACAGCUGUUAGAGUCAUAGAAGUAGUAUCAGCAUUUGUAAUAGUAUGACAAGUUGUAGUAGCAGUGCCAGUAUCUGCAACAGUAGUUGGUAGUCACGUUGCUAUUACUACCACCAAUACUACCAAUAGUAGUUAUAAAGCCUAACUCAUAUAUAUCCAGAUUACCAUCUAUGUUCUUCCUCCAAACCCAUUUUAUGAUUGGGAUUACAGGCAGUUUUUUAGGACUGCUCUCAAAUAAUUGAAAUGUUACUAAACAAGGUUAUACUUAUCAAAUUAAAUAGCUCUGGUCGCCAGUAUAUUGGCAAAUUCGGUUCUUUGUACUUAAUUUAUUAGCAUGAUUUCUUUUUAAUAUGUUGUGUACAGACUUAAUUACUUCUCUGUCUACUUUUCUUACUCCAUGUAGGUUUCCCAGAGACUAUGGGUUGAGGAGGAAUUGGAAGUUUGUCGGCUUAGACCUGGUGUCAUUCCAUCAGUGUUAAACUUCCCGGCUCAUCUUGGAAGAGUACGUGCCAGAAAGACCACGACCAAGCAGCCUUGAGAUCUUAGGCAGUGUCUCCCUGAGGUCCCUCUCUAUCUCCCCACACAUCCACCAACCACUGGAACACAUCUCCAAAGUUCUGCCGGGCCAGCUCAGCUUCCCCUCAGAAGAAGUGCCGCCACCUGCCAGAUGAAGGAGCCUUUUGAGAGGCAGCUGGCAUCGUGAUUGGACUGUACUUUGGUCUGUUCCAAUCCAGCUUCAGCUCCAGAGACGGCAGGCGGGACGAGUCAAUGGAGGCCUGGUGGACGAAGGCAUGCAGCUGAGUACAAUCUAGAAAACAACAGAGGAGGAGUGCAGUGGCUCAGGGCCAGAACAACCAGAGUAGCAUCGUAUGUCUCUUAUUAAACAUCAUAGUAUAGCCUCUGGUAUGAAAAAAUGCCAUCAUAUACAUCGUAUAUUGUACAAAUAACAAGUCAAAGGAAAGAGACAUACAUUGUAGAAUUGUAGUAAUUGUGGGCUGACUGAUUUACUGAUUAUCAGUAUUUUAUUUUUUACUGAUUUACGGUAAUAAAUACAUUUAAAAAGUGUG
This is a long non-coding RNA of Amphiprion ocellaris (clown anemonefish), 1252 nucleotides long. RefSeq lists it as uncharacterized. The record is from RefSeq and is a predicted model, not a curated record. Lineage: Eukaryota; Metazoa; Chordata; Actinopteri; Pomacentridae. The transcript is spliced from 2 exons.